RNAcentral lists this ribosomal RNA (277 nucleotides) under uncultured prokaryote. RNAcentral's name for it is "partial 16S ribosomal RNA". It matches the Rfam family "Bacterial small subunit ribosomal RNA", at positions 524 to 801 of the family's 1533-position model. The record is from RNAcentral.
UACGGAGGAUGCGAGCGUUAUCCGGAUUUACUGGGCGUAAAGGGUGCGUAGGUGGUUUCUUAAGUCAGAGGUGAAAGGCUACGGCUCAACCGUAGUAAGCUUUUGGAACUGUAAGACUUGAGUGCAGGAGAGGAGAGUGGAAUUCCUAGUGUAGCGGUGAAAUGCGUAGAUAUUAGGAGGAACACCGGUAGCGAAGGCGGCUCUCUGGACUGUAACUGACGCUGAGGCACGAAAGCGUGGGGAGCAAACAGGAUUAGAUACCCGGGUAGUCCCUGAG